GAUGAACGCUGGCGGCGUGCCUAAUACAUGCAAGUCGAGCGAACAGAUGAGGAGCUUGCUCCUCUGACGUUAGCGGCGGACGGGUGAGUAACACGUGGAUAACCUACCUAUAAGACUGGGAUAACUUCGGGAAACCGGGGCUAAUACCGGAUAAUAUAUUGAACCGCAUGGUUCAAUAGUGAAAGACGGUUUUGCUGUCACUUAUAGAUGGAUCCGCGCCGCAUUAGCUAGUUGGUAAGGUAACGGCUUACCAAGGCAACGAUGCGUAGCCGACCUGAGAGGGUGAUCGGCCACACUGGAACUGAGACACGGUCCAGACUCCUACGGGAGGCAGCAGUAGGGAAUCUUCCGCAAUGGGCGAAAGCCUGACGGAGCAACGCCGCGUGAGUGAUGAAGGUCUUCGGAUCGUAAAACUCUGUUAUUAGGGAAUAACAAAUGUGUAAGUAACUAUGCACGUCUUGACGGUACCUAAUCAGAAAGCCACGGCUAACUACGUG
Molecule: ribosomal RNA, 497 nt
Filed under: uncultured bacterium
Lineage: Bacteria
Description: partial 16S ribosomal RNA
Rfam family: Bacterial small subunit ribosomal RNA
Source: RNAcentral